Molecule: long non-coding RNA, 318 nt
Organism: Oreochromis aureus
Lineage: Eukaryota; Metazoa; Chordata; Actinopteri; Cichliformes; Cichlidae
Exons: 3
Source: RefSeq, a predicted model, not a curated record
GAGCUGCUGCCUCGAGUGCGCUGUUGGAGAAAGGAACCAGGCAGACAGAGGAGAACUGAAGUUUGACCAGCUCCAGUUCACUCUACUCACCUACCUGCCCUCCGGCCACAGUCAUGGCAGUCCACCGAUUCCCUGCUCUGGAGUCUGGCUGCUUCACCUGGACCGCUCGACCUCCCCCAAACACCAGUUCUCUACCUGCAAAGUUGUACUGAGACUUCCGGAUGCAUCUCCUGAUGCCCAUGCCCUUCCUCCUUGCCCUGAACCUAAACUUACAAAAUGAAUUUAGUUUUCUCUCAUGUUCUAUGUUCUUGUACCAGG